CAGUCGAAUGGAGUUCGGAGACAGCUGAGCAUGACAGAGACCAUAAUAAUCAAAAAAAAAUUGGAUGAACUCCAGAAUCGAGAAUUGAAGAUUAGUUUGAAGGUCCUCGACAUAAAAUGCGAUCUGAUCCAGAGGAGGAGAGUUCACCCGACCGUUCGAACCAGGGGCAGAAAGCUGAUACUACUCUGAGAUAUAGUAUUGUUUUUGGAGCCAUUCAACAUUAGGUCCGG
This 230-nucleotide long non-coding RNA is filed under the name Elaeis guineensis (African oil palm). Its description in RNAcentral is "long non-coding RNA (EGUI_LNC034962)". The record is from RNAcentral. Lineage: Eukaryota; Viridiplantae; Streptophyta; Magnoliopsida; Arecales; Arecaceae.